UACGUAGGGGGCAAGCGUUGUCCGGAUUUAUUGGGCGUAAAGAGCGUGUAGGCGGCCUGACAGGUCUGCUGUGAAAACUCGAGGCUCAACCUCGAGACGUCGGUUGAAACCGUUUGGCUAGAGUCCGGAAGAGGAGAGUGGAAUUCCCGGUGUAGCGGUGAAAUGCGCAGAUAUCGGGAAGAACACCCGUGGCGAAGGCGGCUCUCUGGGACGGUACUGACGCUGAGACGCGAAAGCGUGGGGAGCGAACAGG
This 253-nucleotide ribosomal RNA is filed under the name uncultured bacterium. Its description in RNAcentral is "partial 16S ribosomal RNA". It matches the Rfam family "Bacterial small subunit ribosomal RNA", at positions 524 to 776 of the family's 1533-position model. The record is from RNAcentral.